AUGCUUCAAGAUAGGUACAUAGAUCAAAAUCUUAGCAAGAUUCAUGCCAUAUUUUCAAGUGAACUCAAAAAGAUCAAGCCGGAAUUCAGAGCAUACAAUAUCAUGAAGAAAUGGUCACUUACCAUUCGAAUACGGAUCCGUAUUCACCUUACAUCGAGUGUCAAAGCAAGCCAAAUGAUGAACCUUGCACAUUCGUUUGACAUCCCAUCAAUUAAACAUGCAUAUUACAACAAGUAA
This is a non-coding RNA of Vicia faba (fava bean), 237 nucleotides long. NCBI's taxonomy places the organism in Eukaryota, Viridiplantae, Streptophyta, Magnoliopsida, Fabales, Fabaceae. The record is from the annotation of a GenBank genome assembly.